RNAcentral lists this ribosomal RNA (425 nucleotides) under uncultured bacterium. Its description in RNAcentral is "bacterial SSU rRNA". It matches the Rfam family "Bacterial small subunit ribosomal RNA", at positions 356 to 773 of the family's 1533-position model. The record is from RNAcentral.
GGGGAAUAUUGGACAAUGGGCGCAAGCCUGAUCCAGCCAUACCGCGUGGGUGAAGAAGGCCUUCGGGUUGUAAAGCCCUUUUGUUGGGAAAGAAAAGCAGCCGGCUAAUACCCGGUUGUUCUGACGGUACCCAAAGAAUAAGCACCGGCUAACUUCGUGCCAGCAGCCGCGGUAAUACGAAGGGUGCAAGCGUUACUCGGAAUUACUGGGCGUAAAGCGUGCGUAGGUGGUUGUUUAAGUCUGUCGUGAAAGCCCUGGGCUCAACCUGGGAACUGCGAUGGAAACUGGGCGACUAGAGUGUGGUAGAGGGUAGCGGAAUUCCUGGUGUAGCAGUGAAAUGCGUAGAUAUCAGGAGGAACAUCCAUGGCGAAGGCAGCUACCUGGGCCAACACUGACACUGAGGCACGAAAGCGUGGGGAGCAAAC